AAAGUACUCCCUCCGUCCCAAAAUUCUUGUCUUAGAUUUGUCUAGAUACGGAUGUAUCAAGUCACAUUUUAGUAUUAGAUACAUCCGUAUCUAGACAAAUCUAAGACAAGCAAUUUGGGAUAGACGAAGUAGUUG
Non-coding RNA from Triticum aestivum (bread wheat), 135 nucleotides. Lineage: Eukaryota; Viridiplantae; Streptophyta; Magnoliopsida; Poales; Poaceae. The record is from Rfam.